GCUCUUAUGCUUGCUGUUAUGGUCCCGUCUGUCCGACAGAUCCCUAACUUUCAAGUCCGUCACAUCCUACAGAAGUUCUGCCAAAGAAGAAAGAGUAGCAUCCUUUGCAUUCAGCAGCAGAAAGAGACCAGUGUCUGGCAGAUGACCAAGAAACGAUAAGAAUGUUGACAGCAGGUAUUUGCAAUCAAGGGUGAAAUGUGACCGCCAGCAAAGCACAAACUCUUCUUCACAAGCUGGGAAUUUGAUCAGCAAGGAUCUUUAACUUGCCAUAAUCUGUCCUACUAGGAGGGUCACUAAUUUUCUGUGGCUAUUAAAGGAAAGAGAUUCAGGAAU
Mastomys coucha (southern multimammate mouse) is the source of this 333-nucleotide long non-coding RNA. RefSeq lists it as uncharacterized. The transcript is spliced from 2 exons. The record is from RefSeq and is a predicted model, not a curated record. NCBI's taxonomy places the organism in Eukaryota, Metazoa, Chordata, Mammalia, Rodentia, Muridae.